GUGGGGAAUAUUGCACAAUGGGCGAAAGCCUGAUGCAGCCAUGCCGCGUGUGUGAAGAAGGCCUUAGGGUUGUAAAGCACUUUCAGAUGUGAGGAAGGCCAAGUAGUUAAUACCUGCUUGGAUUGACGUUAGCAUCAGAAGAAGCACCGGCUAACUCCGUGCCAGCAGCCGCGGUAAUACGGAGGGUGCAAGCGUUAAUCGGAAUUACUGGGCGUAAAGCGCACGUAGGUGGCGAGAUAAGUUGGAUGUGAAAAACCGGGGCUUAACCUCGGCCGUGCAUUCAAAACUGUCUAGCUAGAGUAAGGGAGAGGGGGGUAGAAUUCCAGGUGUAGCGGUGAAAUGCGUAGAGAUCUGGAGGAAUACCGGUGGCGAAGGCGGCCCCCUGGCCCAUUACUGACACUGAGGUGCGAAAGCGUGGGUAGCGAACAGGAUUAGAUACCCUAGUAGUCC
Molecule: ribosomal RNA, 450 nt
Filed under: uncultured bacterium
Lineage: Bacteria
Description: bacterial SSU rRNA
Rfam family: Bacterial small subunit ribosomal RNA
Source: RNAcentral